CAAAUGUAUGUGUUAAAAAUGUUUGCCAUUUCAGAAUCAACGCUCCCACGAGUUAGUCGAAGAUGAAAUCUUUGAAAAGUAUUAUCAAAGGUGAGCAAUUAGUGCGUGAGUCUGAGCACUUGCUGCAGACAAUUGGCAGCGAAGCAAAUGCCGCACUGCGCCAAGCCAACUCAGAGCUGGGUGCGUGUAUAGACGAAUUCCGUGAAAUGUCGCUGCAGGUAUCGAAGGAUGUUAAUCAAUUGCAAGAUACUGUGAUGGCGUUGUUCCUAGCAAGCGCGUUAUAAUCCCAUUAAGAUAUGCGAUUUUCUGCUGGAAAACUGUUUAGAGCCACUAAUUUUGAAGCCAGUUUCAUUGGACUACAGAAAGCAUACCACAGCAAUCUUCUCUUGCAGAUAUUUCCGAUGCACACACAGUUGGCACUGCGCCGUUGAAAUUAUUGCGUCAGUGUUUGCGUCAAUUAGAUUUGUUGAAAAAUGUUUGGCAGAAUGUGUUACCCGAUGCAAUUUAUAACAAGACAUUUUGCGAUAUUAUACAUGAUUUUUGUAAUGAAAUAAUACGACGUAUACUCGCAAUGGAGGACAUUUCGGCAACAGUGGCAAGUGAGUUGAGUGAGCUAAUCGGUGUCAUAUUGGAGAAGGUGCCAACUUUAUUCAAGCACAAACAUGAAGUGAUACAUAUUAAAUCUUGGA
Rhagoletis pomonella (apple maggot) is the source of this 689-nucleotide RNA transcript. It is a transcript of the gene named centromere/kinetochore protein zw10-like, with no coding region annotated. Lineage: Eukaryota; Metazoa; Arthropoda; Insecta; Diptera; Tephritidae. The transcript has 4 exons. The record is from RefSeq and is a predicted model, not a curated record.